CAGGACGAACGCUGGCGGCGUGCUUAACACAUGCAAGUGGAGCGACGAACCGGGGCUUGCCCCGGGGCAGAGCCGCGAACGGGUGAGUAACACGUGGGUAACCUGCCUCAAUGAUUGGGACAACCCGGGGAAACUCGGGCUAAUACCAAAUGUGUUCACUCCUUCUAAGGGGAGUGAGGAAGGAAGCUUCGGCCUCCGCAUUGAGAUGGGCCCGCGGCCCAUUAGCUUGUUGGUGAGGUAACGGCUCACCAAGGCUUCGAUGGGUAGCUGGUCUGAGAGGACGAUCAGCCACACUGGGACUGAGACACGGCCCAGACUCCUACGGGAGGCAGCAGUGGGGAAUCUUGCACAAUGCGCGAAAGCGUGAUGCAGCAACGCCGCGUGGGGAAGACGGCCUUCGGGUUGUAAACCCCUUUCAGUUGGGACGAAGCUUCGUCGGUGAAUAGCCGGUUGGAGUGACGGUACCUUCAGAAGAAGCCCCGGCUAACUACGUG
Molecule: ribosomal RNA, 494 nt
Filed under: uncultured bacterium
Lineage: Bacteria
Description: bacterial SSU rRNA
Rfam family: Bacterial small subunit ribosomal RNA
Source: RNAcentral